UGGGGAAUUUUGGACAAUGGGCGAAAGCCUGAUCCAGCAAUGCCGCGUGUGUGAAGAAGGCCUUCGGGUUGUAAAGCACUUUUGUCCGGAAAGAAAUCCUCUGGGUUAAUACCUCGGGGGAUGACGGUACCGGAAGAAUAAGCACCGGCUAACUACGUGCCAGCAGCCGCGGUAAUACGUAGGGUGCAAGCGUUAAUCGGAAUUACUGGGCGUAAAGCGUGCGCAGGCGGUUUUGUAAGACGGAUGUGAAAUCCCCGGGGCUUAACCUGGGAACUGCAUUCGUGACUGCAAGGCUAGAGUAUGGCAGAGGGGGGUAGAAUUCCACGUGUAGCAGUGAAAUGCGUAGAGAUGUGGAGGAAUACCGAUGGCGAAGGCAGCCCCCUGGGCCAAUACUGACGCUCAUGCACGAAAGCGUGGGGAGCAAACAGGAUUAGAUACCCUGGUAGUCCACGCCCUAAACGAUGUCAACUAGUUGUUGGGGAUUCAUUUCCUUAGUAACGUAGCUAACGCGUGAAGUUGACCGCCU
RNAcentral lists this ribosomal RNA (526 nucleotides) under uncultured bacterium. Its description in RNAcentral is "partial 16S ribosomal RNA". It matches the Rfam family "Bacterial small subunit ribosomal RNA", at positions 355 to 874 of the family's 1533-position model. The record is from RNAcentral.